GACCUCGCGUCCACUCACCCGCCCUUUGUCAUGAGACGCGCAAGCAACUCACAUCGUUUCGGCUCCUGGCUCUCGGGUACCCCCGCUAUUAAUUUAGUGGGGUACUACCUGUUAGUCGCGGGUCGGCAUUGCAAACCCACGCGGAUUACUGAAGUCUGAUACAAAUUUUAAACGAAAUUAAAACUUUCAACAACGGAUCUCUUGGUUCUGGCAACGAUGAAGAACGCAGCGAAAUGCGAUAAUUAAUGUGAAUUGCAGAAUUCAGUGAAUCAUCGAAUCUUUGAACGCACAUUGCGCCUCCUGGUAUUCCGGGAGGCACGCCUGUCCGAGCGCCAUUACACCCCCCAAGCCUUGCUUGAUGUUGGGCCAUGACGCGCUGUCAAGCCCCAAACCUCUAGGCGCCCCCCACCGGCCGCGAGCGUAGCAAGAAUUUUUUUCCCUCGCUUCGUGUACCCGAUGGGUGGGUCGCCGAUUGACUCCUAAAUUUUACAAGGUUUGGCCUCGGAUCAGGCGGGGAUACCCGCUGAACUUAAGC
RNAcentral lists this non-coding RNA (535 nucleotides) under Troposporella fumosa. RNAcentral describes it as "Helicoma fumosum sequence contains 18S rRNA gene, ITS1, 5.8S rRNA gene, ITS2 and 28S rRNA gene". The stretch from base 182 to 335 matches the Rfam family "5.8S ribosomal RNA". The record is from RNAcentral. Lineage: Eukaryota; Fungi; Ascomycota; Dothideomycetes; Venturiales; Sympoventuriaceae. RNAcentral also lists the same sequence under 1 other name.